Molecule: non-coding RNA, 28 nt
Filed under: Bombyx mori (domestic silkworm)
Lineage: Eukaryota; Metazoa; Arthropoda; Insecta; Lepidoptera; Bombycidae
Source: RNAcentral
UACAUUCGCAAAAAGCGGUACAGCUGGU